Trichobilharzia regenti is the source of this 49-nucleotide non-coding RNA. Lineage: Eukaryota; Metazoa; Platyhelminthes; Trematoda; Strigeidida; Schistosomatidae. The record is from Rfam.
AUCUAGCAGACGAGUCCCAAGUAGGACGAAAUGAGCAUCCUGUCUGGAU